RNAcentral lists this ribosomal RNA (605 nucleotides) under Byrrhus sp. FC_254. Its description in RNAcentral is "SSU rRNA". It matches the Rfam family "Eukaryotic small subunit ribosomal RNA", at positions 22 to 602 of the family's 1831-position model. The record is from RNAcentral. Lineage: Eukaryota; Metazoa; Arthropoda; Insecta; Coleoptera; Byrrhidae.
AGUCAUAUGCUUGUCUCAAAGAUUAAGCCAUGCAUGUCUCAGUACAAGCCAAAUUAAGGUGAAACCGCGAAAGGCUCAUUAAAUCAGUUAUGGUUCCUUAGAUCGUACCAACAUUUACUUGGAUAACUGUGGUAAUUCUAGAGCUAAUACAUGCAAACAGAGUCCCGACCGGAGACGGAAGGGGCGCUUUUAUUAGAUCAAAACCAAUCGGUGGCGGGUUUAACCGCUCGUCAUCGCACAACCUGGUGAAUCUGAAUAACUUACUGCUGAUCGCACGGUCUCGCACCGGCGACGCAUCUUUCAAAUGUCUGCCUUAUCAACUGUCGAUGGUAGGUUCUGCGCCUACCAUGGUUGUAACGGGUAACGGGGAAUCAGGGUUCGAUUCCGGAGAGGGAGCCUGAGAAACGGCUACCACAUCCAAGGAAGGCAGCAGGCGCGCAAAUUACCCACUCCCGGCACGGGGAGGUAGUGACGAAAAAUAACGAUACGGGACUCAUCCGAGGCCCCGUAAUCGGAAUGAGUACACUCUAAACCCUUUAACGAUGAUCAAUUGGAGGGCAAGUCUGGUGCCAGCAGCCGCGGUAAUUCCAGCUCCAAUAGCGUAU